RNAcentral lists this ribosomal RNA (253 nucleotides) under uncultured bacterium. RNAcentral's name for it is "partial 16S ribosomal RNA". It matches the Rfam family "Bacterial small subunit ribosomal RNA", at positions 524 to 776 of the family's 1533-position model. The record is from RNAcentral.
UACGGACCGUACGAACGUUAUUCGGAAUCACUGGGCUUAAAGGGUGCGUAGGCGGUGCGGAAAGUUGGGUGUGAAAUCCCUCGGCUUAACCGAGGAACUGCGCCCAAAACUACCGUGCUCGAGGGAGACAGAGGUGAGCGGAACUUAGGGUGGAGCGGUGAAAUGCGUUGAUAUCCUAAGGAACACCGGUGGCGAAAGCGGCUCACUGGGUCUCUUCUGACGCUGAUGCACGAAAGCUAGGGGAGCGAACGGG